GACGAACGCUGGCGGCGUGCUUAACACAUGCAAGUCGAACGGGUCUGCCCUGUUUUUUGCGGGGUGGGUCAGUGGCGAACGGGUGAGUAACACGUGAGUAACCUGCCCCUCACUUCUGGAUAACCGCUUGAAAGGGUGGCUAAUACGGGGUGUUCUGGCUGUGCCGCAUGGUGUGGCUGGGAAAGAUUCACUUUUGUGGUGUUUUGGUGGGGGAUGGGCUCGCGGCCUAUCAGCCUGUUGGUGGGGUGAUGGCCUGCCAAGGCUUUGACGGGUAGCCGGCCUGAGAGGGUGGGCGGUCACACUGGGACUGAGAUACGGCCCAGACUCCUGCGGGAGGCAGCAGUGGGGGGUAUUGCACAAUGGGCGGAAGCCUGAUGCAGCGACGUCGCGUGAGGGUUGGAGGCCUUCGGGUUGUGAACCUCUUUCGCCGGUGAAGAAGGUCCUGCUCUUUGUGGUGGGGUUGACGGUAGCCGGGUUAUGAAGCGCCGGCUAACUACGUG
RNAcentral lists this ribosomal RNA (500 nucleotides) under uncultured bacterium. RNAcentral describes it as "partial 16S ribosomal RNA". It matches the Rfam family "Bacterial small subunit ribosomal RNA", at positions 28 to 507 of the family's 1533-position model. The record is from RNAcentral.